GUGUUCGCUUCAGCAGCACAUAUACUAAAAUUGGAAUGAUACAGAGAUUAGUAUGGCCCCUAUGCAAGGAUGACAUAGAAAUUUGUGAAGUGUUCCAUAUUUAA
This is a small nuclear RNA of Pipistrellus kuhlii (Kuhl's pipistrelle), 104 nucleotides long. The record is from RefSeq and is a predicted model, not a curated record. Lineage: Eukaryota; Metazoa; Chordata; Mammalia; Chiroptera; Vespertilionidae.